This 75-nucleotide transfer RNA is filed under the name Todarodes pacificus (Japanese flying squid). Its description in RNAcentral is "tRNA-Glu". Lineage: Eukaryota; Metazoa; Mollusca; Cephalopoda; Oegopsida; Ommastrephidae. The record is from RNAcentral.
GUUCUUAUAGUGUAGAUUAGCACAUGAGAUUUUCAAUUUCAUAGGACAUGUUGUUAUAUAAUUAUGUUAAGAAUA